GCCUGAUGCAGCAACGCCGCGUGAGGGACGACGGCCUUCGGGUUGUAAACCUCUUUUAGUAGGGAAGAAGCGAAAGUGACGGUACCUGCAGAAAAAGCACCGGCUAACUACGUGCCAGCAGCCGCGGUAAUACGUAGGGUGCAAGCGUUAUCCGGAAUUAUUGGGCGUAAAGAGCUCGUAGGCGGUUUGUCGCGUCUGCUGUGAAAACUGGAGGCUCAACCUCCAGCCUGCAGUGGGUACGGGCAGACUAGAGUGCGGUAGGGGAGAUUGGAAUUCCUGGUGUAGCGGUGGAAUGCGCAGAUAUCAGGAGGAACACCGAUGGCGAAGGCAGAUCUCUGGGCCGUAACUGACGCUGAGGAGCGAAAGCGUGGGGAGCGAACAGGAUUAGAUACCCUGGUAGUCCACGCCGUAAACGUUGGGAACUAGAUGUGGGGGCCAUUCCACGGCUUCCGUGUCGCAGCUAACGCAUUAAGUUCCCCGCCUGGGGAGUACGGCCGCAAGGCUAAAACUCAAAGGAAUUGACGGGGGCCCGCACAAGCGGCGGAGCAUGCGGAUUAAUUCGAUGCAACGCGAAGAACCUUACCAAGGCUUGACAUAUACGAGAACGCUGCAGAAAUGUAGAACUCUUUGGACACUCGUA
RNAcentral lists this ribosomal RNA (640 nucleotides) under Leifsonia sp. So3Ps_1758. Its description in RNAcentral is "bacterial SSU rRNA". It matches the Rfam family "Bacterial small subunit ribosomal RNA", at positions 381 to 1032 of the family's 1533-position model. Lineage: Bacteria; Bacillati; Actinomycetota; Actinomycetes; Micrococcales; Microbacteriaceae. The record is from RNAcentral.